AAUAUUGGACAAUGGGCGCAAGCCUGAUCCAGCCAUGCCGCGUGAGUGAUGAAGGCCCUAGUGGUGUAAAGCUCUUUCACCGGGUAAGAUAAUUACGGUAACCGGAGAAGAAGCGUCGGCUAACUUCGUGCCAGCAGCCGCGGUAAUACGAAGGGGGCUAGCGUUGUUCGGAAUUACUGGGCGUAAAGCGCACGUAGGCGGAUCGGUCAGUUAGGGGUGAAAUCCCGGGGCUCAACCCCGGAACUGCCUUUAAUACUGCCGGUCUAGAGUCCGAGAGAGGUGAGUGGAAUUCCGAGUGUAGAGGUGAAAUUCGUAGAUAUUCGGAGGAACACCAGUGGCGAAGGCGGCUCACUGGCUCGGUACUGACGCUGAGGUGCGAAAGCGUGGGGAGCAAACA
Molecule: ribosomal RNA, 397 nt
Filed under: uncultured bacterium
Lineage: Bacteria
Description: partial 16S ribosomal RNA
Rfam family: Bacterial small subunit ribosomal RNA
Source: RNAcentral